GGCGGCGUGCUUAACACAUGCAAGUCGAGCGGAAAGGCCCUUCGGGGGUACUCGAGCGGCGAACGGGUGAGUAACACGUGAGUAACCUGCCCCUGACUCUGGGAUAAGCCCGGGAAACUGGGUCUAAUACCGGAUACGACCACUCCAGGCAUCUGGUGGUGGUGGAAAGAACUUUGGUCAGGGAUGGGCUCGCGGCCUAUCAGCUUGUUGGUGGGGUAGUGGCCUACCAAGGCGACGACGGGUAGCCGGCCUGAGAGGGCGACCGGCCACACUGGGACUGAGACACGGCCCAGACUCCUACGGGAGGCAGCAGUGGGGAAUAUUGCGCAAUGGGCGAAAGCCUGAGCCAGCGACGCCGCGUGGGGGAUGACGGCCUUCGGGUUGUAAACCUCUUUCAGCAGGGACGAAGUUGACGUGUACCUGCAGAAGAAGCGCCGGCUAACUACGUGCCAGCAGCCGCGGUAAUACGUAGGGCGCAAGCGUUGUCCGGAAUUAUUGGGCGUAAAGAGCUCGUAGGUGGCUGGUCGCGUCUGCCGUGAAAGCUUAGGGCUUAACCCUAGGUCUGCGGUGGAUACGGGCCGGCUAGAGGUAGGCAGGGGCAAGUGGAAUUCCUGGUGUAGCGGUGAAAUGCGCAGAUAUCAGGAGGAACACCGGUGGCGAAGGCGGCUUGCUGGGCCUUACCUGACGCUGAGGAGCGAAAGCGUGGGGAGCGAACAGGAUUAGAUACCCUGGUAGUCCACGCUGUAAACGUUGGGCGCUAGGUGUGGGGGUCUUCCACGACUUCCGUGCCGGAGCUAACGCAUUAAGCGCCCCGCCUGGGGAGUACGGCCGC
This 832-nucleotide ribosomal RNA is filed under the name Nonomuraea sp. IM-6230. RNAcentral's name for it is "bacterial SSU rRNA". It matches the Rfam family "Bacterial small subunit ribosomal RNA", at positions 38 to 889 of the family's 1533-position model. Lineage: Bacteria; Bacillati; Actinomycetota; Actinomycetes; Streptosporangiales; Streptosporangiaceae. The record is from RNAcentral.